GACAGGUGCUGCAUGGUUGUCGUCAGCUCGUGCCGUGAGGUGUCGGGUUAAGUCCCAUAACGAGCGCAACCCCUAUCAUUAGUUGCCAUCAGGUCAAGCUGGGGACUCUAAUGAAACUGCCUACGCAAGUAGUGAGGAAGUGGGGAUGACGUCAAAUCAGCACGGCCCUUACGUCCAGGGCUACACACGUGCUACAAUGGCCGAUACAGAGGGCAGCUACCUGGUGACAGGAUGCAAAUCUCCAAAGUCGGUCUCAGUUCGGAUCGGAGUCUGCAACCCGACUCCGUGAAGUUGGAUUCGCUAGUAAUCGCGCAUCAGCCAUGGCGCGGUGAAUACGUUCCCGGGCCUU
Molecule: ribosomal RNA, 349 nt
Filed under: uncultured Sphingobacteriales bacterium
Lineage: Bacteria; Pseudomonadati; Bacteroidota; Sphingobacteriia; Sphingobacteriales
Description: bacterial SSU rRNA
Rfam family: Bacterial small subunit ribosomal RNA
Source: RNAcentral